UGCGGGCUGGUGCAACCGGCAGCACGCCGAGCUCUGGACUCGGAGGUUGGAGGUUCGAAUCCUCCGCCCGCAG
Molecule: transfer RNA, 73 nt
Filed under: Actinoplanes italicus
Lineage: Bacteria; Bacillati; Actinomycetota; Actinomycetes; Micromonosporales; Micromonosporaceae
Rfam family: tRNA
About the family: Transfer RNA (tRNA) molecules are approximately 80 nucleotides in length. Their secondary structure includes four short double-helical elements and three loops (D, anti-codon, and T loops).
Source: Rfam by way of RNAcentral